RNAcentral lists this ribosomal RNA (389 nucleotides) under uncultured bacterium. RNAcentral describes it as "bacterial SSU rRNA". It matches the Rfam family "Bacterial small subunit ribosomal RNA", at positions 30 to 417 of the family's 1533-position model. The record is from RNAcentral.
AUUGAACGCUGGCGGCAUGCUUUACACAUGCAAGUCGAACGGCAGCACGGGUGCUUGCACCUGGUGGCGAGUGGCGGACGGGUGAGUAAUGCAUCGGAACGUGUCCUGAAGUGGGGGAUAACGCAUCGAAAGAUGUGCUAAUACCGCAUAUUCUCUGAGGAGGAAAGUAGGGGAUCGAAAGACCUUAUGCUUUUGGAGCGGCCGAUGUCUGAUUAGCUAGUUGGUAGGGUAAUGGCUUACCAAGGCGACGAUCAGUAGUUGGUCUGAGAGGACGACCAGCCACACUGGGACUGAGACACGGCCUAGACUCCUACGGGAGGCAGCAGUGGGGAAUUUUGGACAAUGGGCGCAAGCCUGAUCCAGCAAUGCCGCGUGAGUGAAGAAGGCCU